RNAcentral lists this ribosomal RNA (152 nucleotides) under uncultured soil bacterium. Its description in RNAcentral is "partial 16S ribosomal RNA". It matches the Rfam family "Bacterial small subunit ribosomal RNA", at positions 363 to 507 of the family's 1533-position model. The record is from RNAcentral.
CCGCGGUAAUGGGCGAAAGCCUGACCGAGCAACGCCGCGUGAGCGAUGAAGGCCUUCGGGUCGUAAAGCUCUGUUGUUAAGGAAGAACAAGUACGAGAGUAACUGCUCGUACCUUGACGGUACUUAACGAGAAAGCCACGGCUAACUACGUG